UAGGGAAUCUUCCGCAAUGGGCGAAAGCCUGACGGAGCAACGCCGCGUGAGUGAUGAAGGUCUUCGGAUCGUAAAACUCUGUUAUUAGGGAAGAACAAAUGUGUAAGUAACUAUGCACGUCUUGACGGUACCUAAUCAGAAAGCCACGGCUAACUACGUGCCAGCAGCCGCGGUAAUACGUAGGUGGCAAGCGUUAUCCGGAAUUAUUGGGCGUAAAGCGCGCGUAGGCGGUUUUUUAAGUCUGAUGUGAAAGCCCACGGCUCAACCGUGGAGGGUCAUUGGAAACUGGAAAACUUGAGGGCAGAAGAGGAAAGUGGAAUUCCAUGUGUAGCGGUGAAAUGCGCAGAGAUAUGGAGGAACACCAGUGGCGAAGGCGACUUUCUGGUCUGUAACUGACGCUGAUGUGCGAAAGCGUGGGGAUCAAACAGG
This 429-nucleotide ribosomal RNA is filed under the name Actinomycetes bacterium. Its description in RNAcentral is "Actinobacteria bacterium partial 16S ribosomal RNA". It matches the Rfam family "Bacterial small subunit ribosomal RNA", at positions 355 to 776 of the family's 1533-position model. The record is from RNAcentral. Lineage: Bacteria; Bacillati; Actinomycetota; Actinomycetes.